AACUUUUGGCAAUGGAUCUCUUGGCUCUCGCAUCGAUGAAGAACGCAGCGAAAUGCGUUAAGUAAUGUGAAUUGCAGAACUCAGUGAAUCAUCGAAUCUUUGAACGCACCUUGCGCUCCUUGGUAUUCCGAGGAGCAUGCCUGUUUGAGUGUCAUUAAAUUCUCAACCUUUCCAUUAAUUUGGUUUGGCUUGGAUGUGGGGGUUGCAGGCUUCAUUUGACUAUGAGGUCAGCUCUCCUUAAAUGCAUUAGUGGAACUUUUGUUGACCAUCUAUUGGUGUGAUAUCUAUCUACACUGUGGAUGUGAAGCAGUGUUCAGCUUCUAACCGUCUAUUAUUGACUUUACUUGACCAUUUGACCUCAAAUCAGGUAGGACUACCCGCUGAACUUAAGCAUAUCAAUAAGCGGAGGCU
RNAcentral lists this unclassified non-coding RNA (411 nucleotides) under uncultured fungus. RNAcentral's name for it is "sequence contains ITS2". The stretch from base 1 to 154 matches the Rfam family "5.8S ribosomal RNA". The record is from RNAcentral. Lineage: Eukaryota; Fungi.